GUGGCGAACGGGUGAGUAACACGUGAGUAACCUGCCCUUGACUCUGGGAUAAGCCUGGGAAACUGGGUCUAAUACCGGAUAUGACCGACUAUCGCAUGGUGGUUGGUGGAAAGCUUUUGUGGUUUUGGAUGGACUCGCGGCCUAUCAGCUUGUUGGUGGGGUAAUGGCCUACCAAGGCGACGACGGGUAGCCGGCCUGAGAGGGUGACCGGCCACACUGGGACUGAGACACGGCCCAGACUCCUACGGGAGGCAGCAGUGGGGAAUAUUGCACAAUGGGCGCAAGCCUGAUGCAGCGACGCCGCGUGAGGGAUGACGGCCUUCGGGUUGUAAACCUCUUUCAGUAGGGAAGAAGCCGCGAGGUGACGGUACCUGCAGAAGAAGCGCCGGCUAACUACGUGCCAGCAGCCGCGGUAAUACGUAGGGCGCAAGCGUUAUCCGGAAUUAUUGGGCGUAAAGAGCUCGUAGGCGGUUUGUCGCGUCUGCCGUGAAAGUCCGGGGCUCAACUCCGGAUCUGCGGUGGGUACGGGCAGACUAGAGUGA
Molecule: ribosomal RNA, 542 nt
Filed under: Arthrobacter sp.
Lineage: Bacteria; Bacillati; Actinomycetota; Actinomycetes; Micrococcales; Micrococcaceae
Description: bacterial SSU rRNA
Rfam family: Bacterial small subunit ribosomal RNA
Source: RNAcentral